This 406-nucleotide ribosomal RNA is filed under the name uncultured bacterium. RNAcentral describes it as "partial 16S ribosomal RNA". It matches the Rfam family "Bacterial small subunit ribosomal RNA", at positions 29 to 526 of the family's 1533-position model. The record is from RNAcentral.
AUCGAACGCUGGCGGCAGGCUUAACACAUGCAAGUCGAGCGAGAGGCGGAGGGGUGAGUAAUGUCUGGGCGCCUGCCUGAUGGAGGGGGAUAACUACUGGAAACGGUAGCUAAUACCGCAUACCAUCAGAUGUGCCUAGAUGGGAUUAGCUAGUAGGGGGGGUAAUGGCUCACCUAGGCGACGAUCCCUAGCGGGUCUGAGAGGAUGACCGGCCAAACUGGAACUGAGAGCCGGUCCGGAAUCCUACGGGAGGCAGCAGUGGGGAAUAUUGCAGAAUGGGAGCAAGCCUGAUGCAGCCAUGCAGCGUGUGUGAAGAAGGCCUUCGGGGCGUAAAGAACUUUCAGCGGGGAGGCGUUACUCGCAGAAGAAGCACCGGCUAACUCCGUGCCAGCAGCCGCGGUAAUAC